This 69-nucleotide transfer RNA is filed under the name Rattus norvegicus (Norway rat). It matches the Rfam family "tRNA". Rfam says of the family: Transfer RNA (tRNA) molecules are approximately 80 nucleotides in length. Lineage: Eukaryota; Metazoa; Chordata; Mammalia; Rodentia; Muridae. The record is from Rfam by way of RNAcentral.
GGGGAUUUAGCUCAGUGGUAGAGCGCUUGCCUAGGAAGCGCAAGGCCCUGGGUUCAGUUCCCAGCUCUG